Molecule: ribosomal RNA, 443 nt
Filed under: uncultured bacterium
Lineage: Bacteria
Description: partial 16S ribosomal RNA
Rfam family: Bacterial small subunit ribosomal RNA
Source: RNAcentral
CCUACGGGAGGCUGCAGUGGGGAAUAUUGGGCAAUGGGCGCAAGCCUGACCCAGCAACGCCGCGUGAAGGAAGAAGGCUCUCGGGUUGUAAACUUCUUUUAUCAGGGACGAAGCAAGUGACGGUACCUGAUGAAUAAGCCACGGCUAACUACGUGCCAGCAGCCGCGGUAAUACGUAGGUGGCAAGCGUUAUCCGGAUUUACUGGGUGUAAAGGGCGUGUAGGCGGGAAAGCAAGUCAGAUGUGAACACCAUGGGCUCAACCUGUGGCCUGCAUUUGAAACUGUUUUUCUUGAGUACUGGGAAGGUAGACGGAAUUCCUAGUGUAGCGGUGAAAUGCGUAGAUAUUACGAGGAACACCAGUGGCGAAGGCGGUCUGCGGGACAGCAACUGACGCUGAGGCGCGAAAGCGUGGGGAGCAAACAGGAUUAGAUACCCUUGUAGUC